RNAcentral lists this unclassified non-coding RNA (828 nucleotides) under Melitaea cinxia (Glanville fritillary). Its description in RNAcentral is "misc RNA ENSMCXG00005007674.1". Lineage: Eukaryota; Metazoa; Arthropoda; Insecta; Lepidoptera; Nymphalidae. The record is from RNAcentral.
UAUAAAAUUAAUUGCUAUACUUUAUAUAUUAUAUAUAAAAUUAAUUAAACAUUUAUCGACAGUUUCGUUUAACAAAAAAAAAAAAAAAAAAACCCUAACCUAUCUAACUUAAGAAGUACGUUUAACGACAGUUUCGUUUAACAAAAAAAAAAAAAAAAUAACCCUAACCUAUCUAACUUAAGAAGUACGUUUAACGACAGUUUCGUUUAACAAAAAAAAAAAAAAAUAACCCUAACCUAUCUAACUUAAGAAGUACGUUUAACGACAGUUUCGUUUAACAAAAAAAAAAAAAAAAAAAUAACCCUAACCUAUCUAACUUAAGAAGUACGUUUAACGACAGUUUCGUUUAACAAAAAAAAAAAAAAAUAACCCUAACCUAUCUAACUUAAGAAGUACUACGUUUAACGACAGUUUCGUUUAACAAAAAAAAAAAAAAAAAAAAAAAAAUAACCCUAACCUAUUUAACUUAAGAAGUACGUUUAACGACAGUUUCGUUUAACAAAAAAAAAAAAAAAAUAACCCUAACCUAUCUAACUUAAGAAGUACGUUUAACGACAGUUUCGUUUAACAAAAAAAAAAAAAAAAAAUAACCCUAACCUAUCUAACUUAAGAAGUACGUUUAACGACAGUUUCGUUUAACAAAAAAAAAAAAAAUAACCCUAACCUAUCUAACUUAAGAAGUACGUUUAACGACAGUUUCGUUUAACAAAAAAAAAAAAAAAAAAUAACCCUAACCUAUCUAACUUAAAAAGUACGUUUAACGACAGUUUCGUUUAACAAAAAAAAAAAAAAAAAAAUAACCCUAACCUAUCUAACUUAAGAAGUACA